CCUACGGGUGACAGCAGUGAGGAAUAUUGGUCAAUGGGCGCGAGCCUGAACCAGCCAAGUAGCGUGAGGGAUGACUGCCCUACGGGUUGUAAACUUCUUUUGUCAGGGAAUAAAGUGAGGCACGCGUGCCUUUCUGUAUGUACUUUGUGAAUAAGGAUCGGCUAACUCCGUGCCAGCAGCCGCGGUAAUACGGAGGAUGCGAGCGUUAUCCGGAUUUAUUGGGUUUAAAGGGUGCGUAGAGGGGUUGUGAAGUCAGUGGGGAAAGUUUGCGGCUCAACCGUGAAAUUGCAUUUGAUACUGGCAUUCUUGAGUACAGGUGAGGUAGGCGGAAUGCGUGGUGUAGCGGUGAAAUGCAUAGAUAUCACGCAGAACUCCGAUUGCGAAGGCAGCGUACUAAAGUGCCACUGACAUUGAUGCACGAAAGUGUGGGUAUCAAACAGGAUUAGAUACCCGUGUAGUC
This 460-nucleotide ribosomal RNA is filed under the name uncultured bacterium. RNAcentral describes it as "partial 16S ribosomal RNA". It matches the Rfam family "Bacterial small subunit ribosomal RNA", at positions 338 to 795 of the family's 1533-position model. The record is from RNAcentral.